This is a non-coding RNA of Parasteatoda tepidariorum (common house spider), 586 nucleotides long. NCBI's taxonomy places the organism in Eukaryota, Metazoa, Arthropoda, Arachnida, Araneae, Theridiidae. The record is from RefSeq and is a predicted model, not a curated record.
UUUUAUUCAAAUCUUUAUAUUUUAGGUGGAAAAUGAGGAAAACAUAUUGGUAGUUUUAAGAAUAAUCAUAGAAUUUUAUAAGACCUUCAGGCCACCAUGCAGCUUCGAAAUACAGAUGUUUCUGCUUUAUGUAAAGAAUAUUUACAAAGAACUGCCUAAUCACUUGCAUCUUAUAUUUGAACUACGGCCUACUCCAAAUGUAAAAGAUUUAUCGGCAACUACGUUGGAACUUUAAUUGAAAGAAACAUUUACCAUAACACAGAUUCAAAUUGAGAAAAGUGGAAAAAGAAUCCCGAAUUCAACUACCCAGAUGGGGUGCACUACCUUUUGAAAUGAAGGGCCACAUGCACAGCAGAUUGACCUAUGAAGGGUUGCAUGCCCAAGAAUUUAGACAGGCAUGUUAACAGCAAUUAUAGGUAGUAAUUGUUUUAUAAACAUCAUUGUUCUAGGCACUAAAUCCUUUUUAUCAGUUAACCUUGCAAUAUAUUUGUUUAAAAUUAAAUGCUUUUAAAUGUUUAAAAUUAAAAACUGAUUACCCAAGGAAACAAAACACAAUCAGAAAACCAGAAUCAAUUUAUGAGAAGAA